Molecule: ribosomal RNA, 407 nt
Filed under: uncultured bacterium
Lineage: Bacteria
Description: partial 16S ribosomal RNA
Rfam family: Bacterial small subunit ribosomal RNA
Source: RNAcentral
GACGAACGCUGGCGGCGUGCCUAAUACAUGCAAGUAGGACGCAUUUGCGAACGGGUGAGUAACGCGUAGGUAACUACCUAUUAGAGGGGGGUAACUAUUGGAAACGAUAGCUAAUACCGCAUACUAGUAGAUGGACCUACUUUGUAUUAGUUAGUAGGUAGGGUAAAGGCCUACCUAGGCAACGAUGCAUAGCCGACCUGGGAGGGUGAUCAGACACACUGGGACUGAGACACCGCCCAGAUUCCUACUGGAGGCAGCAGUAGGGAAUCUUCGGCAAUGGGGGGAACCCUGACCGAGCAACGCCGCGGGAGUUAAGAAGGUUUUCGGAUCGUAAAGCUCUGUUGUUAAGGAAGCGGUACUUAACCAGAAAGGGACGGCUAACUACGUGCCAGCAGCCGCGGUAAUUC